Molecule: ribosomal RNA, 460 nt
Filed under: uncultured bacterium
Lineage: Bacteria
Description: partial 16S ribosomal RNA
Rfam family: Bacterial small subunit ribosomal RNA
Source: RNAcentral
CCUACGGGAGGCAGCAGUGAGGAAUAUUGGUCAAUGGACGAGAGUCUGACCCAGCCAAGUCGCGUGAAGGAUGAAUGCCCUCUGGGUUGAAAAUUUCUUUUAUAUGGGAAUAAAACAGGGUAUGCAUACCCUCUUGUAUGUACCAUAUGAAUAAGGAUAGGCUAACUCCGUGCCAGCAGCCGCGGUAAUACGGAGGAUCCGAGCGUUAUCCGGAUUUAUUGGGUUUAAAGGGAGCGUAGGUGGAUUGUUAAGUCAGUUGUGAAAGUUUGCGGCUCAACCGGAAAAUUGCAGUUGAAACUGGCAGUCUUGAGUACAGUAGAGGUGGGCGGAAUUCGUGGUGUAGCGAUGAAAUGCGUAGAGAUCACGAAGAACUCCGAUGGCGAAGGCAGCUCACUGGACAGCAACUGACACUGAUGCGCGAAAGUGUGGGUAGCAAACAGGAUUAGAUACCCGGGUAGUC